RNAcentral lists this long non-coding RNA (619 nucleotides) under Bos taurus (domestic cattle). RNAcentral describes it as "long non-coding RNA NONBTAT013740". Lineage: Eukaryota; Metazoa; Chordata; Mammalia; Artiodactyla; Bovidae. The record is from RNAcentral.
CCAGAUCAUGAGGGCCCUGUAUGGGCUAAGGGCAAGUUUUGAUCUCUUUCCCCCCAAGUACUGGGGAGUCACUAAAAGUAUGCAAGUGCAGAGUGAGUGCAAGGUGAGUAUGCCCUCAUGGGUGUGUGUGUCUGAGACAGAGAGCGACUGGCUGAGAGAGAGAGAACAGUGAUGAGUGGUGACUGCCUUUGCUGUGUGUUUUUUGACUGCUGGGGAAGGAUGUCCACAGGUGAGAGUGAGUGUGAGACAGCAUGGAACCCUCUUCCAUCUCCUCCCACUUUCUGCUAAGUUACUUGUCAAUCAGGAGCUCACCGUUCCCAUUUCAAAGCAGGGUAAUACAUUGGGGUAAGUAUUUAUGAAGUGCCGAGCUUUUUGAUCGAUACCUAUGUUGUUUUAAAGGAGCCAAUGACUAGAAUUGUUCUAAGUUAUUGAAAGACGAACUUACUGUGUGCCAGUGUGGAAAGAAGAGACAAAGUAUAAUUUUUGCAUCAGGCAAAUGAUUUACAGCUAUAAUCCUCAAGUAAUCAAGCUGUUUCUACAAAGUUGUUUUGUUCUUUGAAAGACUUAAAGUAUAAAAAGUUAAUUUACUUAUAGAAUCUCAUGAAGAGGACUUUUUAAA